This 462-nucleotide ribosomal RNA is filed under the name uncultured bacterium. Its description in RNAcentral is "partial 16S ribosomal RNA". It matches the Rfam family "Bacterial small subunit ribosomal RNA", at positions 29 to 507 of the family's 1533-position model. The record is from RNAcentral.
AGUGAACGCUGGCGGCGUGCCUAAUACAUGCAAGUCGAACGAACGAAUAAGAGCUUGCUCUUAUAAGUUAGUGGCGCACGGGUGAGUAAUAUAUAGCUAAUCUGCCUCUUAGUAGAGGAUAACAGUCGGAAACGAUUGCUAAUACUCUAUACUUCUGCUUUACAUAAGUAAAGUAGAGAAAGUUUUUCGCUAAGAGAUGAGGCUAUACUGUAUCAGCUAGUUGGUAAGGUAACGGCUUACCAAGGCUAUGACGCAUAACUGGUCUGAGAGGAUGAUCAGUCACAUUGGAACUGAGACACGGUCCAAACUCCUACGGGAGGCAGAAGUAGGGAAUAUUGCGCAAUGGGGGAAACCCUGACGCAGCAACGCCGCGUGGAGGAUGACACUUUUCGGAGCGUAAACUCCUUUUAUCGGGAAAGAAUAAUGACGGUACCCGAUGAAUAAGCACCGGCUAACUCCGUG